Molecule: long non-coding RNA, 353 nt
Filed under: Gossypium barbadense (sea-island cotton)
Lineage: Eukaryota; Viridiplantae; Streptophyta; Magnoliopsida; Malvales; Malvaceae
Description: long non-coding RNA (GBAR_LNC018146)
Source: RNAcentral
CAAUACCCUAUUGAUCCACUUCAGAAGCGGGUUCUCCUAUUGGAGAAGGUUAAAGCAGACAAGAAGGGAUCAACUGAAGCUGCAAAGCCUCAAACAAAGAGAGCUCGUGCCAAUGGUGCAGGAUAUGGUCCACGAGUCACUAAUGUAGCUGCUGACAAACCAUUCUAUUCUAGAACCACUGAUAAGUACCCGCAGUACGUUUAUGACAGACCUUAUGUUUACUCCGGACCUGCUGACAACCACGGCCCCUCUCUUCUUGGUUCUGCCACCUACAACUUCUCUCCAAGUCAUGGUAACUACUUCGGCUACCAGUAUCAGGUUCCCUAUCUUCACUAAUUUCCCAAAAAAUGGCA